CUAUCGGAACAACCUUGAUACCUCUCAAGGGUGUUCUACUCUUUUGUGUGUACAGAAUGCCUCGGUAUUACUGUGACUACUGUGAUACUUACUUGACACAUGAUUCUCCUUCUGUUAGAAAGCAGCAUAAUGCAGGGUACAAACACAAGGGAAAUGUUCGAACUUAUUAUCAACAAUUUGAGGCACAACUGAAUCAAAGUCUAAUUGAUCAAAAAGUCAAGGAACAUCUAGGGGCCUUUAGACCAGUUGGCCUUCCUUUUCCUCAGCUAAGGCCUGGUCUUCCUGGUCUUCCAACUCCUCCAAUGCAGAUGCCCGGCAACCCUCAAAUGCCAGCUGGUGCCCAAUGGGUCCCUGGUAUGCGGCCUCCGGUGCUUCCUAGGCCCAUGCCCGGUCUUCCAGGUUAUGCACCUCCACCAAUGCCUCAGAUGUUGGCACCUCCCGGUGCUCCUAUGCCUGGUCAAGUCAAUAAUAUGCAAAGACCUGCCGGUCCACCAAGUGCAGUUCCAGGAAGUAUGGGAAUGCCUGCUCCUACUGGUGGCCCUCCAAUGUUUGCACCACCUCCCGUGUAUCAAGGAAGUACCACUGUGCCAACAACCGGAGGAGUUGAUAAUUCCAGUACCAACGCUCAAGCUGCCGACUCUAACCAAUAGGCCAGUCUAUGUACAUAAAAUCCAGAUGCUACCGUCCUGAAGCUAUUCUUGAUCCUGGCUUCAACAUGUUUUCUUUUCUUUGUUGUGAUGUUAACUGCUAGAAAUCCAUGAUAUGGUUAGAUGUAAGGUUUAUUUCUGGGAAAGAAACUGGUCAGGGAAGAGAGAGACAAAUUCAUUUACUCGGGGAAGGUUUUUGGCUAAGCAACAUUGAUUG
RNAcentral lists this unclassified non-coding RNA (864 nucleotides) under Hevea brasiliensis (rubber tree). Lineage: Eukaryota; Viridiplantae; Streptophyta; Magnoliopsida; Malpighiales; Euphorbiaceae. The record is from RNAcentral.